This is a long non-coding RNA of Felis catus (domestic cat), 399 nucleotides long. RefSeq lists it as uncharacterized. The record is from RefSeq and is a predicted model, not a curated record. NCBI's taxonomy places the organism in Eukaryota, Metazoa, Chordata, Mammalia, Carnivora, Felidae. The transcript is spliced from 3 exons.
UUCAGUAAGCUGCAUGCCCAAUGUAGGGCUCGAACUCAGGACCCUGAGAUCAACAGUCACAUGCUCCAACAACAGAGUCAGCCAGGUGCUUCAUGUAAGUGCUCUUCUUCGAAUGUACUGAAAUAAGGCCCAUUGCUGCUUCGAGAAAGACAGGGUUGCAACAAGCUGAAACUUACUGCUACUUUACAUGAUAUUCUGCCUACUUUCUAUGAAAUGAGACUGAGAUUGGGGAAGAUUAAGCUCAUAUGGGAGCAGCAUAGCAAAAGAAAGGUAGGUGAAAUGUGACCAUAAUCAAUGGAAUUCCAUUUUACCUUCUUUUCUAUGAUUAUUGGGAUGGAAAAAUUUGAAGCUUAGUAUAAUAUAUUCCCUCUAAUUUCAUCUGCCUGUACAGAAAUUUCA